Long non-coding RNA from Juglans microcarpa x Juglans regia, 117 nucleotides. RefSeq lists it as uncharacterized. The record is from RefSeq and is a predicted model, not a curated record. The transcript is spliced from 2 exons. NCBI's taxonomy places the organism in Eukaryota, Viridiplantae, Streptophyta, Magnoliopsida, Fagales, Juglandaceae.
UUCCUCACUCUUCUCUCCAUUUCUGACUGACUGGCUACAUUGGAGCAAAACCUUAAGAACCUUUUUCAUGGAUGGUCUGGUAGAAGGUUGUGUGCCAGUACAAUAGAGUCCAAGUCU